Molecule: long non-coding RNA, 224 nt
Organism: Clupea harengus (Atlantic herring)
Lineage: Eukaryota; Metazoa; Chordata; Actinopteri; Clupeiformes; Clupeidae
Exons: 3
Source: RefSeq, a predicted model, not a curated record
GAGGGAGACAAGCUAACCUUCACUGCACAGCUGGCUUUUCAGCUUCUGUUGAUGAGUAAGGAGAUUGAUGUGCGUGAGCUGGACUUCCUGCUCAGGUUUAAUGUGGAGCACAGCUAUAACAGUCCUGUUGACUUCCUCCCUAACUCUGCCUGGAGUGCCAUCAAGACGAUGAGCUUCACGGAUGAGUUUCGGGGGCUGGAGCGGGACAUCGAGGGCUCCCCCAA